UACGGAGGGUGCAAGCGUUAAUCGGAAUUACUGGGCGUAAAGCGCGCGUAGGCGGUUUUUUAAGUCGGAUGUGAAAGCCCCGGGCUCAACCUGGGAACUGCAUCCGAUACUGGAAGACUAGAAUGCGGGAGAGGGAGGUAGAAUUCCAUGUGUAGCAGUGAAAUGCGUAGAUAUAUGGAGGAAUACCAGUGGCGAAGGCGGCCUCCUGGCUCGACAUUGACGCUGAGGUGCGAAAGCGUGGGGAGCAAAUGGG
RNAcentral lists this ribosomal RNA (253 nucleotides) under uncultured bacterium. RNAcentral describes it as "partial 16S ribosomal RNA". It matches the Rfam family "Bacterial small subunit ribosomal RNA", at positions 524 to 776 of the family's 1533-position model. The record is from RNAcentral.